GUCCCAGAGCGACAAGACCAAGAUUUAUGCUCCAAGCUUUCUGUCCCUGCUGACUGGAGGUGAGAGAGGAGAGCAACAAAAGCUCUAAUCUUUAUCUAGAAGAUUGUGUUUAUUUGUUUACUUCCUUAUGGUCUAUAUCCUCCCUCUGGCCUGUAACUCCAUAGAGGAAGAGUGGACUAUUGUGUGCUGUUUCCCACUGUGUCCCCAGCAAUAAAUCAGUGCCUCGCACAGGAAGUCCUAAUAUUUCCUUACCACCCUGCAAUGAAUUGUCUUGUGCACUUUCUGGAGCAUGUCACCCCAGGGUGGAGACCACUGGAUUAAGUCGCCAGUUCCUAAAAUUGUUGUGGGGCCGCGUGGUGAGAGUACCAGAUGUUCACAUCCACAGGAAUUUGGAUGGUCCUCGCUGAUCCAAUCCAGCGGGUGACGGAUUGCCGCCCGGUUUGAGCCACUGCUAGCACCUGAGGAUUCAACAGUGAUCCCCAUAAGCAUAGUCCCUGCCUUCAAGAAGCUUGUGAUUGGAUGGAGGAGAGAGACAAUAAACAGAUGAAGAAACUUGAGAUGUGGCUUUUCCAACAUCCAGAAGUGGUCCAUUUUGACUCCAAGUUCAAGUUCUUAGCUGCUACUGUGCUGUCCCCUUAGAAGAUAAAUCGUCUAGCUGCAUCUGAUUGCAUUAUCAUAUCAAAUCCUUUCUAUUGUGCAAAGAACCAAUUCUCCAAAUUGAGUGUCUUAAUACCACUCUCAGUCCACAAUCUAUAAAGCACACCUUUGAACUGUUGUAUACAUUUUCUUUACAAUGAACAAACAGAAAAAACAUUGAACUUUUCAUUCAACUGAUUGAAACAUUGACCUUCACAUGUUGCCUAACAUAACAAAUGAAGUUACACAAUCAUUUUAUAGCUCCAGUCCUAUCUCUGCUAUUAUAACCUCCAGCCUUUACAGGACUGUCCUGAUGUAAAACCCACAGGUCCUCUGGACCUCACACAGUUCUACAUUCACACAGCGCUCACCAUGUUUAUUAGGUACAUUCUCACCUGUCUCAGGGGUCCCAGGUGUCUUAGCUUCCCUGAAUGGAAAAAGACAUUCCUGCUUCAUUCUCUUUCUCUUUUUACAAAAACCACUACCCCCUCUGCCUACCUGCUCCUACGACCUCAUUCUUCUCAGGUUUGUGUGCUUCAAGAAGUGCAAAACUGGUGAACUGUGGUGAAAAUUCCACUGUUUUCCCAGAUCAGGUAGUGCCUACGACUUCACCGAGGGCUGAAGAAAAGGAUCAGCUUUAAAAGUCAGACCGUGUUCUCUUCUCUUCUCUGUUGUCUGCUUGGGCAUCCCCUGUUUUCUCACUAUCUGUAGACAGUGACUAGUCCUGAAAGUAAGGUUGUAGAAUGACCCACGCAAAGCUCUGCUUAGAAUAUCUGGAAUGGAAUCAGUUAUGUGUGAACUUCUGGUUUGCAAUCCAAUAACCCACUCUUCUUAAAUGUAUAUUUAUCCAAAACCACCCCUCCUCAGCACAGCAUUUACUGUAUCACUCAUGGGAUCACUCUCUCCCACUCACUGGGACUCAUUUGCCCAUCUGUAAAGUUAAAGGAGUAGAUUAAACCGUUUGUGACGUCACUUCCAGCUCUAAAGGUCUUUGAUUCUAAUCUAGGUUUCCAUUUUCCUACACUAGAGUUUCCUUCCUUCCAUCCAUUCAUCCACCCAUCCAUCCGCUUAUUCAUUCAUUCACAGAAAAAAAUGUAUAUAUGGAGUGCCUACUGUGUGCUAGAUAUUGUUCUAGGCAGAUUGAUUAAGUAAUAACUAGGACAGAUAACAUCUAUCCCCCAUGGGGGCAUAACCUUCUCUCUUACCUCUCCCCGCAAAUAAUUUGAAAGUGUAAAGAAAACCAGUGGUAGAGUUGUUCUAAC
This 1898-nucleotide long non-coding RNA is filed under the name Equus caballus (horse). RNAcentral's name for it is "lncRNA (ENSECAG00000046494.1)". The record is from RNAcentral. Lineage: Eukaryota; Metazoa; Chordata; Mammalia; Perissodactyla; Equidae.